Non-coding RNA from Struthio camelus australis, 598 nucleotides. Lineage: Eukaryota; Metazoa; Chordata; Aves; Struthioniformes; Struthionidae. The record is from RefSeq and is a predicted model, not a curated record.
UCAAGCUGCUGCUGAAGUUGAGCUUUCUGAAGGAUUGGUUCUGAUCUGGUUUUGAGCGUUAGAGUUGGGGGAGAACGGAGAGAAGAUAUUUGUUUGCUUGAUUCCACAUGACAACUCCAGGGUAACUGAAUAGACUGUACGGUUGGUUUGAUAAGGCUAUGCAGUGAGCCAGCAGCCUCACAUACCAGAGACGGGGGGCUGGAAGGGGGACUGACAACUGUAAUGGAUUUUUAUCAGAAUUUCUCUAAAGACCGACAGUUUGCCUUCACUUACUAAUGUUUUUCAGAGGUUUCCCUUCUGAGAGCUGCUUUCAUCCAAGGCAUCCAAAGCACUUCAUACAAUCCAGUGCAUUAAGCAUGGCAACAUGACUGUGAGGUAAUGUUUGGAUACAUGUGAAUUAGAUACGUAUAUAUGAAGAACUUCCUAACAACCCCUGAUGUGCUCCAGUUGGACAGACUGAAGCAGGCGUGAGGUGUUUGUACCUGGUUGAAUUUGGUUUAAUGUGGCUCUGCACAGGUCAUGGCCAAGGAGGUCUUGAAAUAUGCCAAAGACUUAUUCUUCCUACUGAACUGAUCACUAGUCAGCAAGAAUAUUUUCA